AUGGUUGUCGUCAGCUCGUGUCGUGAGAUGUUGGGUUAAGUCCCGCAACGAGCGCAACCCUUACCUUCAGUAGCCAGCACAUAAUGGUGGGCACUCUGGAGGGACUGCCGGGGACAACCCGGAGGAAGGUGGGGACGACGUCAAAUCAUCAUGCCCCUUAUGGCCUGGGCUACACACGUGCUACAAUGGCGUAAACAGAGGGAGGCAGCCCCGCGAGGGUGAGCAAACCCCAAAAAUAACGUCCCAGUUCGGAUUGCAGUCUGCAACUCGACUGCAUGAAGCUGGAAUCGCUAGUAAUCGCGGAUCAGAAUGCCGCGGUGAAUACGUUCCCGGGUCUUGUACACACCGCCCGUCACACCAUGGGAGUUGGUAACGCCCGAAGUCAGUGACCUAACCGAAAGGGAGGAGCUGCCGAAGGUGGGACCAGUGACUGGGGUGAAGUCGUAACAAGGUAGCCGUAUCGGAAGGUGCGGUUGGAUCACCUC
Molecule: ribosomal RNA, 485 nt
Filed under: uncultured bacterium
Lineage: Bacteria
Description: bacterial SSU rRNA
Rfam family: Bacterial small subunit ribosomal RNA
Source: RNAcentral